This 433-nucleotide ribosomal RNA is filed under the name uncultured bacterium. Its description in RNAcentral is "partial 16S ribosomal RNA". It matches the Rfam family "Bacterial small subunit ribosomal RNA", at positions 29 to 507 of the family's 1533-position model. The record is from RNAcentral.
AACGAACGCUGGCGGCAUGCCUAACACAUGCAAGUCGAACGAGACCUUCGUGUCUAUUUGCGCACGUGUGCGUAACGCGUGGGAACCUGCCCUUAGGUUCGGAAUAACUCCCUUUAAGGGGUGCUAAUACCGGAUAAUGUCUUCGGACCAAAGAUUUAUCGCCUUUGGAUGGGCCCGCGUUGGUUUAGCUGGUUGGUAGGGUAAAAGCAUACCAAGGCGACGAUCCAUAGCUGGUCUGAGAGGAUGAUCCGCCACACUGGGAAUGAGACACGGACCAGAAUCCUACGGGAGGGAGGAGAGGGGAAUAUUGGACAAUGGGCGAUAGCAUGAUCAAGCAAUGCCGCGUGAGUGAUGAAGGGCGUAGGGAUGUAAAGCUCUUUUAGACGGGACGAUAAUGACAGUAACGGGAGAAUAAGCACCGGCUAACUACGUG